AUACAGAGGGUGCAAGCGUUAAUCGGAAUUACUGGGCGUAAAGCGCGCGUAGGCGGUUUAAUCAGUCGGAUGUGAAAGCCCCGGGCUCAACCUGGGAACUGCAUUCGAUACUGUUAAGCUAGAGUAUGGUAGAGGGAAGUGGAAUUCCAGGUGUGGCGGUGAAAUGCGUAGAUAUCUGGAGGAACAUCAGUGGCGAAGGCGACUUCCUGGACCAAUACUGACACUGAGGUGCGAAAGCGUGGGUAGCAAACAGGAUUAGAAACCCUAGUAGUCC
This 274-nucleotide ribosomal RNA is filed under the name uncultured bacterium. Its description in RNAcentral is "partial 16S ribosomal RNA". It matches the Rfam family "Bacterial small subunit ribosomal RNA", at positions 523 to 796 of the family's 1533-position model. The record is from RNAcentral.